Long non-coding RNA from Gasterosteus aculeatus aculeatus (three-spined stickleback), 987 nucleotides. The record is from Ensembl. Lineage: Eukaryota; Metazoa; Chordata; Actinopteri; Perciformes; Gasterosteidae.
ACAGAGGAGCCAUGAACCCCAGAACGCGACCUGACGUGGAGGACAAGGAGGCCCUCUGGGCACUACUGUAAAAAGGAGACUCCGUAUGUAGAUAGUUCUUAAUCUGCAAUUGUCUUGUUGUGUUGUGUUGACAUACUUUUCUUUACUGUUUUCUUAAAUUUAACAUUUAACAUAAUGCAAUAUAGCCAGGACAGCCUUACAGAGUCGCGACGCUUUGUGUUGCGUUGCUUCGCAUCGCGUCAAGGUCUGUAUGAUCACAAAAUUCAGAGUUUACCCACCUCUAAUUUUACCACUACAGCACUGAACAUAAUGCAAUAUAGCCAGGACAGCCUUACAGAGUCGCGGCGCUUUGUGUUGCGUUGCUUCGCAUCGCGUCAAGGUCUGUAUGAUCACAAAAUUCAGAGUUUACCCACCUCUAAUUUUACCACUACAGCACUGCUGUAGUGUGGGUGACUGUUCCUGUGCCAGAUAAGCCCAGUCAUCCAUCAUAAGGAAUAUACCCAGUUUGUAUUCUGUUGAUUUUUAAUCUAUUUUAUUAUAUGGUAAAUGUCAUCUUGUCAUCUUACUUUCUGUCAUCUUUCACCCAUUCAUAAACUAAUAACAGGAGCUUCCAUGCACAGCGCCCUCUGUCCAUCAGUAACAUUCACACCAUUUACACACCGUAGUCACAGCUAUUGGAGCAGUGUUUGGGUUAAGUGUCUUUCUCAAGGACUCUUCGACAUGUGUGGUGAACGGAAAUGCUGUAUGUGUUCAUUUGUACAUAGAUUUGGGCAAGUGCAAUCCGAUCAGAAGUGGUCAUGUGUAAACUGAUGUAGCCUACUUGGAGCUGUCCACCUGUGAUCUGAUUACCAAAGUAAAGGCCAGAGGUGAACAGGGCUUAAGGCUCUUUUCAACAAGUGAAGGCCAACAGUUUUAUUUUCUACCAAAUUUUGGAAAUGAAGGAUGCUUUAUCCUGAGGAUUGUCUCCAAAUUGGUACAAAUCUGUCC